Molecule: long non-coding RNA, 244 nt
Filed under: Panax ginseng (ginseng)
Lineage: Eukaryota; Viridiplantae; Streptophyta; Magnoliopsida; Apiales; Araliaceae
Description: long non-coding RNA (PGIN_LNC011065)
Source: RNAcentral
AAACAGUAACCAAUUUAUAUGUACUUAGUAACCAGAAUAUAAAACAGAUUUUUACAUGCAUUUUGAAAUCAAAACAGUCAGUAUACUGACUUUGUUACCAAUUAAAGAGCGAAAAACUUAAGAAAGGUAACCAAUAUACGAGUAUAUAGUACCCACGAGUUAACAAUAUGCAUAUAAACUUUAAACUCAAAGUUGUUACAGAGGUUGAUUUCUGAUGUUGAAGUUGUUGUUGAUCUUAUUGAAG